Molecule: small RNA, 275 nt
Filed under: Arabidopsis thaliana (thale cress)
Lineage: Eukaryota; Viridiplantae; Streptophyta; Magnoliopsida; Brassicales; Brassicaceae
Description: ATSL080610
Source: RNAcentral
AUUAGUUUUCUUAAUUUGUGCGAAAAAAUUUCAAACAUCGUUCUUUUAUGAAUAGAGGAAAUAUUAAACUUGACCACAAAAAACAAAGUUAUGACAUUACUUACUAGGCCUAUCAAAUUAAAGCAAAGUCUGAUGGCCCCGCUUGAUAGCUCUACUACUUACUACAAAAAGAUAACUAUGUAUGUGUAGUAAGCAAACCUUUUCUUUUUUGUCGGCUUGUUUAAAUUAUUUUGAGCUUGAAAAAGAAAAUUCAUGUUUUUACUUAAUUUAAAUAA